Molecule: ribosomal RNA, 301 nt
Filed under: uncultured bacterium
Lineage: Bacteria
Description: partial 16S ribosomal RNA
Rfam family: Bacterial small subunit ribosomal RNA
Source: RNAcentral
CAGUCGCCGCGGUAAUACGGAGGGGGCUAGCGUUGUUCGGAAUUACUGGGCGUAAAGCGCACGUAGGCGGCUUGGUAAGUUAGAGGUGAAAGCCCAGGGCUCAACCCUGGAAUUGCCUUUAAGACUGCCGAGCUAGUAGGUGAGAGAGGUAAGUGGAAUUCCGAGUGUAGAGGUGAAAUUCGUAGAUAUUCGGAAGAACACCAGUGGCGAAGGCGGCUUACUGGCUCAUUCUAGACGCUGAGGUGCGAAAGCGUGGGGAGCAAACAGGAUUAGAUACCCGCGUAGUCCCUGUCUCUUAUAC